CUACGGGGUGCUGCAGUGGGGAAUAUUGCACAAUGGAGGAAACUCUGAUGCAGCAACGCCGCGUGGAGGAUGACACUUUUCGGAGCGUAAACUCCUUUUAUAUAGGAAGAAGAUGACGGUACUAUAUGAAUAAGCGCCGGCUAACUCCGUGCCAGCAGCCGCGGUAAUACGGAGGGCGCAAGCGUUACUCGGAAUCACUGGGCGUAAAGAGCAUGUAGGCGGAUUAAAAAGUCAGAAGUGAAAUCCUAUAGCUUAACUAUAGAACUGCUUCUGAAACUCUUAAUCUAGAAUAUGGGAGAGGUAGAUGGAAUUUCUGGUGUAGGGGUAAAAUCCGUAGAGAUCAGAAGGAAUACCGAUUGCGAAGGCGAUCUACUAGAACAUUAUUGACGCUGAGACGCGAAAGCGUGGGGAGCAAACAGGAUUAGAUACCCCUGUAGUC
Molecule: ribosomal RNA, 439 nt
Filed under: uncultured bacterium
Lineage: Bacteria
Description: partial 16S ribosomal RNA
Rfam family: Bacterial small subunit ribosomal RNA
Source: RNAcentral